Triticum aestivum (bread wheat) is the source of this 1237-nucleotide long non-coding RNA. RefSeq lists it as uncharacterized. NCBI's taxonomy places the organism in Eukaryota, Viridiplantae, Streptophyta, Magnoliopsida, Poales, Poaceae. The transcript has 2 exons. The record is from RefSeq and is a predicted model, not a curated record.
AAAAAAUAAAAGGAAAAAACCACCCCGACCCGACCUCCACGGCUCCACCAGACCACCUUCACCCCGAUCCCCUGAUCCCAUCACCGCCCGGACAACCCCGCUGCCCCGCGACCUGCCGGGACUCCCCGCCACUGCCCGGCCUCCCGGAAUCCCCGCCGCUGCGCGACCUCCCUAGCCCCCGCCUCUGCUCCCCGACCCGACCUAGCUACUGCGGCCGCACCCCACCUCCGCCAGGAUCUCUCCUCCGCCACAACCACGCCAGCGAGCACCGCCCCUCUUCUCAUCCAUUUUAGCCAGGACCUCGCCUCGCCAGGACAACAACCCAGCCAUCCCCGCACGUCAAUGGGCUGCUGCCCCACUCCUCCAUCUCCCCGGUGAUGCUGCUGGGCGGAGGCUCCCCCACCGCGCAGCCUCCUACAGGUGCAGCUUCACUGCCGCACCACGGUGUUAAUCGGCGCCUCCUCUAGCCGUUCAGGCUACAACAGUUUUCUCCCUGAACACUUCUGGGGACCAAAAAAGGUGUGGUCGUGUAGCGGCCGCCGGCGAGGAUCAAUGGCACUGUAUGAUGCACUUCAAAGUGUUCGUGUUAAUGCCUCAAUGAAAAAUGAGUUGUGUAGUUUUGUAUUUCAGUGCGAGCACACUCAAAUCCUUGAAACUGCCCACGCCCAACUGAUUUGUCUUCGUGUUCGGCCUACAUAAGCUAUUUUUAUUUGUGUCUAAAGCAGAACUCAGGAAGUCAAUAUGCCACGUACGACGGCUAUGCGUCGUUCGCGGUGAAGUUCUACUACGGUUGUACACCAAGUUCAACUACAGGUAUAUGCUUAUAAACAUUAUUAGAGAAAACUAUAGGCCGCAGCCGUGCCCCUCCGCUGCACCGCCCAUCAUCACCCCCGUACACAGCCGGCCACCGGGCAACUCCUCCAGCGCGGGUGCAACACUACCGCUGCUCACAUCCUCGCCCCACUUGCUGGUGUCUUCCACUCUAGGCGCGGUUGUAGCAAGCAAACAAAAGCGCCACUGGUUCAUCCCGGAUGCUGCUUGUACUCCAUGUUAUGCAUUAUUGUCCUAGAUGGGGUUGCAGAAAAGGAUUGUGUAGUGUGGCGUGCGUGGCUGAGAAGAUGAUGUAAGAUGGAACAGGAUAGGGAUGGAACGUGUGGUGGGGAAAAUCAGAGUUAUACGCGGUAAAAAUAAUUCUUAGAUUUUCUGAAAAAAAGAGCAUAGAACAUGCUUGUUUUGA